CGUCAAAUCAUCAUGCCCCUUACGUCUUGGGCUACACACGUGCUACAAUGGGCGCUACAAAGAGCGGCAAGACGGUAACGUCGAGCGAAUCUCAAAAAAGCGUUCUCAGUUCAGAUUGAGGGCUGCAACCCGCCCUCAUGAAGCAGGAGUUGCUAGUAAUCGCGAAUCAGAAUGUCGCGGUGAAUGCGUUCCCGGGUCUU
This 200-nucleotide ribosomal RNA is filed under the name uncultured prokaryote. RNAcentral's name for it is "partial 16S ribosomal RNA". It matches the Rfam family "Bacterial small subunit ribosomal RNA", at positions 1183 to 1382 of the family's 1533-position model. The record is from RNAcentral.